Molecule: ribosomal RNA, 443 nt
Filed under: uncultured bacterium
Lineage: Bacteria
Description: partial 16S ribosomal RNA
Rfam family: Bacterial small subunit ribosomal RNA
Source: RNAcentral
CCUACGGGUGGCAGCAGUGGGGAAUAUUGGGCAAUGGGCGCAAGCCUGACCCAGCAACGCCGCGUGAAGGAAGAAGGCUUUCGGGUUGUAAACUUCUUUUAUCAGGGACGAAGCAAGUGAGGGUACCUGAUGAAUAAGCCACGGCUAACUACGUGCCAGCAGCCGCGGGAAUCCGGCGGUGGGAAGCGUUCUCCGGAUUUACUGGGUGUAAAGGGCGUGUAGGCGGGCGUGCAAGUCAGAUGGGAAAACUAUGGGCUCAACCCAUAGCCUGCAUUUGAAACUGUUCUUCUUGUGUGCUGGAGAGGCAAGCGGAAUUCCGGGUGUAGCGGUGAAAUGCGUAGAUAUACGGAGGAACACCAGUGGCGAAGGCGGAUUGCUGGACAGUAACUGACGCUGAGGCGCGAAAGCGUGGGGAGCAAACAGGAUUAGAUACCCGUGUAGUC